UCUGCCAGAUGCCGGUGCCAUCUUGUAAUGGAGUUUGUGAGGACAACUCCUCACAUAUGUGAGGACAGCUCCUCGGACAGCUCCUCACAUCUCUGUGAGGACAGCUCCUCGGACAGCUCCUCACAAUGUUCCAUGUUUUUUGAAAAGGAUGAAGAUUUUCAAAGAUCAUUUUGAAGCAGCUCUCGGUGACUUUUGGUUCCAUAUCUUUCUUAAAUGUCUCUCUAUGGGAACUAAGCCUAUGGAACUGGCAAGUGAAGGCUGAUAUCUGGCUGCCACCCAGGCCAUCACCCAUUUAUAUCCCAGGGAUUUUCUAUGUUCCAACUGAUGAGCAUCCAUCAAUGAAAAACUGCCUAUUUUCUUAAUUUGAAAAUUAAGUACCAGCAGUCUUAAUUAACCUGGACCCCAAGAUCUCUCAGACACUGGAUUACCAAUCAGGAAGAAGGUCAUACACGUUUCCAUGUCAACUGGAGGACUGCCUUCAAAAUCACGUGAAGAUGCUUUGAGUGAAGGCAUGAUCAUAUUUCUAUCUGAACACUUAGUUUUUCCUUUUGGGGUCCUGCUCUCACAGAAUCAUUCCAGUCAUCACACUU
RNAcentral lists this long non-coding RNA (590 nucleotides) under Rattus norvegicus (Norway rat). RNAcentral's name for it is "long non-coding RNA NONRATT006553". Lineage: Eukaryota; Metazoa; Chordata; Mammalia; Rodentia; Muridae. The record is from RNAcentral.